GAUGAACGCUGGCGGCGUGCUUAACACAUGCAAGUCGAACGGGAAACAUUUCAUUGAGGCUUCGGCGGAUCUGAUCUGUUUCUAGUGGCGGACGGGUGAGUAACGCGUGGGUAACCUGCCUUAUACUGGGGGAUAACAGCCAGAAAUGACUGCUAAUACCGCAUAAGCGCACAGAACCGCAUGGUUCGGUGUGAAAAACUCCGGUGGUAUAAGAUGGACCCGCGUUGGAUUAGCUAGUUGGCAGGGCAGCGGCCUACCAAGGCGACGAUCCAUAGCCGGCCUGAGAGGGUGAACGGCCACAUUGGGACUGAGACACGGCCCAGACUCCUACGGGAGGCAGCAGUGGGGAAUAUUGCACAAUGGGGGAAACCCUGAUGCAGCGACGCCGCGUGAAGGAAGAAGUAUCUCGGUAUGUAAACUUCUAUCAGCAGGGAAGAUAA
RNAcentral lists this ribosomal RNA (440 nucleotides) under uncultured bacterium. RNAcentral's name for it is "bacterial SSU rRNA". It matches the Rfam family "Bacterial small subunit ribosomal RNA", at positions 28 to 451 of the family's 1533-position model. The record is from RNAcentral.